GAGUUGCUAGUAAUCGCGAAUCAGCAUGUCGCGGUGAAUACGUUCCCGGGCCUUGUACACACCGCCCGUCACACCAUGAGAGUUGGCAAUACCCAACGUACGUGAUCUAACCCGCAAGGGAGGAAGCGUCCUAAGGUAGGGUCAGCGAUUGGGGUGAAGUCGUAACAAGGUAUC
This 174-nucleotide ribosomal RNA is filed under the name uncultured bacterium. RNAcentral describes it as "partial 16S ribosomal RNA". It matches the Rfam family "Bacterial small subunit ribosomal RNA", at positions 1329 to 1500 of the family's 1533-position model. The record is from RNAcentral.